GACGGGGCCCGGCGACAAGCGGUGGAGUAUGUGGUUUAAUUCGAUGCAACGCGAAGAACCUUACCUGGUCUUGACAUCCCGGAGACCCUUAGGAACUAGGGGUGCUUCCAUCUGGAAGAAUCUGGAGACAGGUGCUGCAUGGCUGUCGUCAGCUCGUGUCGUGAGAUGUUGGGUUAAGUCCCGCAACGAGCGCAACCCUUGCCUUUAGUUGCCAGCAGUUCGGCUGGGCACUCUAAAGGGACUGCCGGUGUUAAACCGGAGGAAGUGGGGAUGACGUCAAGUCCUCAUGGCCUUUAUGACCAGGGCUACACACGUACUACAAUGGCCGAUACAAAGGGCAGCGACACUGCGAGGUGAAGCCAAUCCCGUAAAAUCGGUCUCAGUCCGGAUUGGAGUCUGCAACUCGACUCCAUGAAGUUGGAAUCGCUAGUAAUCGUGGAUCAGCAUGCCACGGUGAAUACGUUCCCGGGCCUU
Molecule: ribosomal RNA, 474 nt
Filed under: uncultured Desulfobulbus sp.
Lineage: Bacteria; Pseudomonadati; Thermodesulfobacteriota; Desulfobulbia; Desulfobulbales; Desulfobulbaceae
Description: bacterial SSU rRNA
Rfam family: Bacterial small subunit ribosomal RNA
Source: RNAcentral